RNAcentral lists this ribosomal RNA (448 nucleotides) under uncultured bacterium. RNAcentral's name for it is "bacterial SSU rRNA". It matches the Rfam family "Bacterial small subunit ribosomal RNA", at positions 328 to 792 of the family's 1533-position model. The record is from RNAcentral.
GUGCCAGACUCCUACGGGAGGCAGCAGUGGGGGAUAUUGCACAAUGGGGGGAACCCUGAUGCAGCGACGCCGCGUGGGUGAAGAAGUAUUUCGGUAUGUAAGGCCCUAUCGGCAGGGAAGAAUUUAGACGGUACCUGACUAAGAAGCCCCGGCUAAAUACGUGCCAGCAGCCGCGGUAAUACGUAGGGGGCAAGCGUUAUCCGGAUUCACUGGGUGUAAAGGGAGCGUAGACGGCCAUGCAAGCCUGGAGUGAAAGCCCGGGGCCCAACCCCGGGACUGCAUUUGGAACUGUGUGGCUGGAGCGUCGGAGAGGCAGGCGGAAUUCCUAGUGUAGCGGUGAAAUGCGUAGAUAUUAGGAGGAACACCAGUGGCGAAGGCGGCCUGCUGGACGAUGACUGACGUUGAGGCUCGAAAGCGUGGGGAGCAAACAGGAUUAGAUACCCUUGUA